GGUUUGUGGCUUGGUGGCAGAGCACUUGCCUAGCAUGUGUGAGGCACUGGGUUCGAUUCUCAGCACCA
RNAcentral lists this transfer RNA (68 nucleotides) under Marmota monax (woodchuck). RNAcentral describes it as "tRNA.Ala". The record is from RNAcentral. Lineage: Eukaryota; Metazoa; Chordata; Mammalia; Rodentia; Sciuridae.